CACCGAUAUAAACCGACCCCGAGUCCUCCCUCGUUCCAGGCCACUCCUCACUCAUCUCUCUGUCUCAGAGUAGCUAGAGGAGGAGCUUUGCUUCGUCUUCCACUCGGAGCGACGGAGAAAAUCGAGCCGAGGCCUGUCAUCGCCGUGAUCGAGAUAUCCAUGAGGACCGUCGCCGUCGAGUUUGGUUCUGGCAGUUGCUGUCCCGGACGUGGAGCACAACAUCGUCCACGAUGACCGUGAGCACACCGACGCGUCCUGGGCGACAUGCAGCCCCAUCGCGCGAGGAAACUCCGUUCCCCGUGACGCCUCCGUCCUUCCUGAGCAGCCUCAGUGAGCUUUCACUUCGUCGCCGACGUCGGAGUCCGUCUGCGCCGACGCGGAACGCGUCGCUGUCCGAGCCCACGCCCUGGAGCACGACCAGCUCCGCCCACCCAUCCGAGACAGCCAGGGUGAGCAGCAGCGCGUCUCAGCGCUGUCGGCCGCUUCUCCUCUGCGUCGUCUCCCUCGUCCCCGAGCUGCCCCGUCUCCGUCGUCAAGUCGCCGUGCAGAUUCCGUCCUGGCGCCGCCCUCGUACGCGUCCUCGCCAAACCGCGACGUCAUCUCGGCCUCUGCGCCUCUCCGCAUCCUUCAGCCGUCGUCAACGAGCCCCACGAAUGCGAGUACUAUCGGAGAAGGAGAGGAUCUUGGUGAGGAUGUCGAAGAGGAAAGAAGAGCAGAGGUCCGUGAAGAAGAAGUCCAGGGACAAAUAUCCAACAAAGGCAAGCCACCUCUUGAUGCAUACCUUGUCCUAAUUAUCUUGCUCAUGCAUUAUUACAUGUUUUAUAAAUUGCAUGUUUUAUUUAUUUAUGUGAGUGGUCAUGCCACUCGGAGUUUUAUUAUUCCACCCUUACGGGUGCAGCCCUCGUUGAUACCUACUGAACAAACACAUGUUAGAGAUAUGGUGCCUAACACCUUAUCCUCUCUUUGUCGCCGCUUUUCAAGUAAAGCUAGACUAUAGGUUGGGAGCCCUUUUAAAAAGAUGUUUUAUGAAAAAGGUUUCGAGAAAGGAAGUUCUUCAAAAACCUUGGAAUGGGGCAACCCUGCCCAAGUGUGAGUUUUUGAAAAGAAAAAGUGUUUGCAAAAGAAGUUUUGCUGGAGGCAAGUGCAGGAAAGAAAAUGUUUUCGAAAACUUUAGCGCCUAAGUACUCACCCGGACUAAAAGACAGUGCAACCACAUUACCCCAAAGUGGGCACGGGGCGUAGCGUAGUAGUUUGUCUCGCCUUAGUUUGGGUCCUGCAAGUGUAAGGGGUAGUCCGAGCAUGGACACCUAUCGACCGGGCCUUCCCGACGUACUGGGGACGCCUUUCCUUCUUUUCAGAUGGCAGGGGUACAACCUAUGAGCUCCCAUUGAAUAAUGCCUCGCAGUUGGUCGCGGCAUUCCGGAGGGUCGAGCUGGUCGGGGAAUUUGCUACUCCUGGGUAAACGACCCCUCGGACUCUGGUGUUGGGAGGUACAACUCUAGGCGGCAUGUCUUAGGCUAAGGCGAGCAAGCGAAAAACUGCGAUCGGUUAUCCGAACCUCGCGUUUUGACGCUUGGUGAACCAGGGAUGAUCCCGGCGGAUUUAUCGGAUCUUGUGGGGAAAUGUACGACCUCUGUAGAGUGAAAACUAUUCGAAUAGCCGUGUCCGCGGUUAUGGACGGUUGGGAAGGCUGUUGCUUAGCCUGAAGAGUUUUGGUUUAUAAAAGUGUUUUUCAAAAAAAUUUGGAAAAGGAUACCAGUGGGACAGGUGGGAAUGUACCUGGGAGGUACGGUGGAAAAUUGGAAAAGUUGUUUUAGCCAUAUGAGAUGGCCGGGAAGGAAACGGGGUCACCCUUACCUAUUAGUCUUCAAAAGAAAACUUGUUUUUAAAAAGGUUUUCAACAAAGAUAUAGAGGUGUCAUAUUCUCGAGAGAAGCUAUCUCUCAUUCCUUGUAACCUUAGAAUACUGCCUAUUCCUUGCUACUGCCAAAUAUGCAUAUCAUUUACUUCUCUCCAAGGUGGUUUGCGAGUACAAUUCAUAAUGUACUCAUGGCUUUGUCCCUGGCUAUUUACUUGGCCAGACUUGGUGGAGUCUGACAGAUGAAGAAGGAGUCGACGCCGUCUAUGCGAGCUAAGAACGUCUUCCCAGUCAGUUGCCUGUAGGGUUAUGGCAUGACUUGGGCCAUGCGAACUCUUUCAUAUGAAGUUUCCGCUGUGUGAUUGUGGAUCUCCUGCCAUUGCGGCUCUUAUGUAAUAUUUGGUCAAAUGACCUGUUGUAAUCUUUUUAUUCGGUACUGUAAUGGAUCCUGUAUUUGAUACCAGUUCGGUUAUGCCUUCACGACACACUGAUCAUGGGAUCGUGAAUGUGUAUGCAUAACGGGUGUUUCGGACAGCUAAUCCGGGGCCCCACAGUUACAGACUGUACCUUGUGAACUUCGUCCAAUGAUUAACCAGAUGUGUCCGCAUGAAGGGUCUUUCACUAUGCAUGGCAAUGGCAAAUUGAUGAACACCUACACGGUCUAUGAGGUGUAUGUCUACAAGACGCAGACCAUCACAUAUUUGUAUGGACAUGAUUGGAGAAAGUUUGCUUUUGACUACGGUCUGAAGAAGGGCGACGAGCUGAGGAUCUGAAAAUCAAACGGGCAGAUAUACGUAACUGCUUACAGAUUUGGAGACACUUCCAAAUAUAUAAUAUG
Non-coding RNA from Lolium perenne, 2695 nucleotides. Lineage: Eukaryota; Viridiplantae; Streptophyta; Magnoliopsida; Poales; Poaceae. The record is from RefSeq and is a predicted model, not a curated record.